Molecule: non-coding RNA, 54 nt
Organism: Salmo salar (Atlantic salmon)
Lineage: Eukaryota; Metazoa; Chordata; Actinopteri; Salmoniformes; Salmonidae
Source: Rfam
UGGAGAAGAAUUUGUAAGUCACUCUGGAUAAGAGCGUCUGCUAAAUGACGUAAC